RNAcentral lists this long non-coding RNA (1587 nucleotides) under Equus caballus (horse). RNAcentral's name for it is "lncRNA (ENSECAG00000053748.1)". The record is from RNAcentral. Lineage: Eukaryota; Metazoa; Chordata; Mammalia; Perissodactyla; Equidae.
GCUUCUCUGAAACAUGGCUGCGGGGCUGGGCCACGGGGCCUUCCUCCUGCGAAGUUUUCCUUAGGAUGUUCGGAACUUCAGCGGGAACCACCGUGUGCGAUUCCUGUCGACCUUAAAUGCCGACUCUGCGGAAAGGUUUCCCGGACAGGCCAGCCUCUUUUCCACGGCCAUCCCUGGGGGCAGGUGCUUGCCGGGAUUCUGUAUCCGCUUAACAAACUGAAUAUGGUGAAAACAAGCACCUAGGGCAACCUAGAAACUGAAAGAAAAGGAUAGGGAGAGACUAUCUUACGCAUCGAAAGCCUGGAGGCUAGAAGACUAGGAUGAAGCAAGAGGUUGCUACAAGAAGACUUCUCCAAGGUGUGGGACCUCGCAUCAGCGAGAACAGGGACUGCAAAGGACACCUUCUCCCUCCCUAAAGCUUGGAAGCCCACACUGACCAUGAUGGAAAGGCAGAACGUGAUUACAACUUGAUCUCUUCGCCUUGAACUUGGAAGUAACAGCUUGCCCUGCCAGUUCUCUGAAGCGGCUGGUGCUGCAGGGGAGGGAGGGGGUCCUCGUCUUCUCCCUGCAUGAGAACAGCAGGUAUCGGGUACCCCGCUGCGGGAGGCCCACAACUGAGUUCCAAUGAAGGAGCCCCCAAAGCAAACAGUCUAAAGCUCCGGACCUUCCUAAAACCACUUUGCCACCCGACUAAAGCCAGAUGGCCUGAAUGUAUUCCAAGUCGUCUCCUUGUGCGGAAAAUCCCUUAAGAUUCAAAUUUCAGAGUCCUGGGCCCGGACUCAGACCUACUAAAUUAGCUUUUCGGGGGGUGGGCCCUGGACAUUUGCAUUUUGCAGAUUUAGGGGAUUCUGAGGCAUCCUAGAGUUUAGGAAACGCUGGAUUUGAGAACUAAAGACUUAAACUCUUUCUCAGAAAAAUUUGGCCCGGUGCGAUCAUAAACGUCUUUAGACCAGUAUUUUUCUCAAGCUCCCUUUUGCUACGAUGUUAACCAGGCCCUGGGGAGGUGCAGGUUCAUUACAGAACACAAGAUCUGUUCACAGAAGGUGGCAUCCCGUUCAUCUAAAUGCCUCUGACUUGCUAAUCCUGCUGUUGGCGGCUUAAUAGUUUGCUCUGAACAAAAGGAGCAGAGACAGCAGGUGAAUCUGAUUUGUGCUUGCAGUUGCCAUGGCAACGGCAGGCAGCCGAAAUCGCUGGCUAGAAAGGACCCCCUCCCAGGCCAUCCCUCCGUUCCAUUGUGAAAGCUCCGGCUCUGCUCGCCUCAGACUGGAAAUCUGGCCUCCUUGGGGCAGGGUUGAUAAAUGUGUAUUCCCAAAAGAAGUAAAUAGGAAAUCGUGCUUUCCUACCGCUCUGUUUUCUUCUCUUACGUGUCUUCCAAAAGCAUCUCAGCAUAACCCAAACAGGAUGGAAAUUCUUCUCAUCUCCUGGCAUAAAUCUCAUCUUGCCUCCUGCUUGCUGGGGAAUAGGAGGAGACUCAGAGUCCUCUAUGUGUGGCUUAUUCCAACAGUCCCUGCUGACGGACAUUUGCCCUGUUUCCAGACUUCUGCUGUUACAAUAGAGUCACAAAGAAUUAAAACAGAGAGAGAAUUU